UUUGACCUUGUUGAACUUAGGAUAAAUCACUUGGACCUUUCAAGGUUGAUUUGAGGUGAUUUUGAAGUUUGACCUUUCCAUUUAUUUUAAUUCAAGUUUAUUUUAAGUAUUAAAAAAAUGCCAAAAAUAGUUUAUUCAUUUCUUGACUUCCAAUCUUCAUCUCACUUCAGUUUUUGAUUGUUUGACCUUGACUUUCAAUGUUAUUGGUCAACAUAUGAGGAUUGGUACAUGAUGCUCCAUUUAAUGCAUUUAUAUUUCUUCUACCAUUUUGUCAUUUCCAU
This 281-nucleotide long non-coding RNA is filed under the name Lathyrus oleraceus (garden pea). Its description in RNAcentral is "Pisum sativum (pea) long non-coding RNA (PSAT_LNC041698)". The record is from RNAcentral. Lineage: Eukaryota; Viridiplantae; Streptophyta; Magnoliopsida; Fabales; Fabaceae.